Ricinus communis (castor bean) is the source of this 107-nucleotide non-coding RNA. The record is from Rfam. Lineage: Eukaryota; Viridiplantae; Streptophyta; Magnoliopsida; Malpighiales; Euphorbiaceae.
GUAUCAUAGUGUGGGUAUUAUAAUAAAAGUAACUUGAAGCCAUCCCAUGCUUCAUGAAAGAAUUCAGUAUCCUUUUAAUAAAAGUAAAAUAUUUCAACCUUUAACUC